This 497-nucleotide ribosomal RNA is filed under the name uncultured bacterium. RNAcentral describes it as "partial 16S ribosomal RNA". It matches the Rfam family "Bacterial small subunit ribosomal RNA", at positions 28 to 507 of the family's 1533-position model. The record is from RNAcentral.
GAUGAACGCUGGCGGCGUGCCUAAUACAUGCAAGUCGAGCGAACAGACGAGGAGCUUGCUCCUCUGACGUUAGCGGCGGACGGGUGAGUAACACGUGGAUAACCUACCUAUAUGACUGGGAUAACUUCGGGAAACCGGAGCUAAUACCGGAUAAUAUAUUGAACCGCAUGGUUCAAUAGUGAAGGACGGUUUUGCUGUCACUUAUAGAUGGAUCCGCGCCGCAUUAGCUAGUUGGUAAGGUAACGGCUUACCAAGGCAACGAUGCGUAGCCGACCUGAGAGGGUGAUCGGCCACACUGGAACUGAGACACGGUCCAGACUCCUACGGGAGGCAGCAGUAGGGAAUCUUCCGCAAUGGGCGAAAGCCUGACGGAGCAACGCCGCGUGAGUGAUGAAGGUCUUCGGAUCGUAAAACUCUGUUAUUAGGGAAGAACAAAUGUGUAAGUAACUAUGCACGUCUUGACGGUACCUAAUCAGAAAGCCACGGCUAACUACGUG